UAGAAUUCCAGAUUAGUUGGAAACUCAGACUUGCCCGCGCAUUCACUUUGAAUCAUUCAUCUGAAAAUGUUUUCAAACCUUUUGUACUUGUGUCUUGUCAUAUUAACUUGUUUGAUUUUCAAUCUUUUGUUUGAGGACAAACAAAGAGUUAAGUUGGGGAGAGUUUGAUAAGUGCUAGAAAGUUGUAUUUUAAGUGAUAUAUUUU
RNAcentral lists this long non-coding RNA (205 nucleotides) under Medicago truncatula (barrel medic). RNAcentral describes it as "long non-coding RNA (MTRU_LNC000294)". The record is from RNAcentral. Lineage: Eukaryota; Viridiplantae; Streptophyta; Magnoliopsida; Fabales; Fabaceae.